GACUAAACCCAAAUAACCAGAUCUAAAUUAGAAUCCAAUAAGAAAGCAUUUACCCAAGUAGGAAUUAAUUGGUCAAUUAUGGGUUAGAAUCAAACCGGACUCAAACCACUUCUCAAAAACACAUCAAAAAUCAUCAAUUAAAAACAAAAUAAUUCCACAAAAAAAUAAAAAUCUUCUCAACUCCCUCCAGCAUCGUCAGAACAACACACCACAACCUAUCUAACAUACAAUAAACAAUACAAAUUAACAUUAAAUUCAUACAUAUAAACUAAAAUCUAAACAAAUUAACAUAAAUAAGGAAUUGCUCAUUUU
Molecule: long non-coding RNA, 312 nt
Filed under: Ananas comosus (pineapple)
Lineage: Eukaryota; Viridiplantae; Streptophyta; Magnoliopsida; Poales; Bromeliaceae
Description: long non-coding RNA (ACOM_LNC013339)
Source: RNAcentral